AUGGCUCCUACCGAGGCUGAGGCUGAUGUAGAGGAGGGAGAAGAGAAGAAUAAGAGGGAAAGGAAAGCAGCCGGAGUUGCUUUCACGUGGAUUCAAAAUAACUUUGCGACGUGCCCUCCGGAUGCCACUAAUGAUGUGAUCCAGACACAUGCUCGUGUGUAUAUGUGGUACGUUGUGUCGAGGACUUUGUUUCCUGACUCCACUGGCAAGAACGCUCCAUGGAUGUGGCUGAAGGCAUUGACCGUCUUCGAUAGCAAAUGGAGCUGGGGUUCAGCGACUCUUGCCUACUUGUACCGACAGGUAGUUGGUCUGUUUUGUGAUCAACUCAUUUCUUCAUUAGCAAUGCAAGCUGGCUGUCAAGUUAACAUUGUUUUUCUUUCAUAUGUAGCUAGACGAUGCGUGUUGCAGGAUCACAGAUAG
RNAcentral lists this ribosomal RNA (420 nucleotides) under Triticum aestivum (bread wheat). RNAcentral describes it as "partial small subunit ribosomal RNA". The record is from RNAcentral. Lineage: Eukaryota; Viridiplantae; Streptophyta; Magnoliopsida; Poales; Poaceae.